AAAAAAUAACUCCAAAGCUUACAAGCCUUCAUGAGGUCCAUCAGCUACACAGAGAGCCAGACUUAACCUCGCAGUCUUCUUGACACGUACUGAAGGACGAGAAACUUAUUAUUAGUUUACACACUUAAAUUUGUAAAGCACAAAUACAGGAAAAGAAGAAGUUUGGACAAGUCUGCCAUCUUUAUUUCAGUUCUUCAGAUUACAAAAAUCACCACAAACAUGAAACGGGCUUUCCUGUUGAUGACUAUCAGCGUUCUGACAGUAUUCUUUUUGACAACUUGCCACGUUAAUCCAGUGUCAGCGGCUUACGACUGGUCACUCCGCAGUAGACCUAAAUGUGCUACUUUGGGUCAGUCGUGCAGAACCUGGUCGGCGCCAAGCUGUUGCUGGCACCUGAAAUGCAAGGCUUUUCGCUGUAGGAGGCGUUAGUUUGAUGCACUUGAUGAACAAAUCAUGAUCAACGUCAUAUUCAACGACAUACGAUUGAAUUCCAUUCCUAUAAAAAAAAACAAAAAAAACUGAUCUAUUCACAGAAUGUUAAUGCAUUUUUUAUGAGUUUUUAUUUCUUUGAUAUUUUUUACUCUCACUUCUUUCAUAUUUUGUAAUUAUUAAACGAUAUGGACAAAUAGAGUUAUUGUAAAAUGUA
Molecule: long non-coding RNA, 646 nt
Organism: Limulus polyphemus (Atlantic horseshoe crab)
Lineage: Eukaryota; Metazoa; Arthropoda; Merostomata; Xiphosura; Limulidae
Exons: 3
Source: RefSeq, a predicted model, not a curated record